CUACUAUUAGGAGGGUCUAGUAGUGGCCUAUCUUUUGGCUGAAUACAAUAUCAACUUCAUCAACGCUAUAAGGUGCUUUUUUGGACAAUUGAGCACAUAGCAUGCAGCAUGGUCGGGGCAGGACAAGCUUCAACAUGCUGUCCCAGCACUAUGGCUCAGCCGAGACCUGGACAGGCCAACUCUGCCAGUCCCUGAGCCAUGAAGCCUGCCUUCUUCCUGGAGGAUGCAAUCUUUUGAAGAAGAUACUUAGUGCACAGGAGCAGAAUAUAUGACUAUGCCAACUUGGUCACUGUGAAUUUGUUUCACACAUUCUGACAUUUGCCUCAAACCAGAAACAAAAGUCACGUGGCUUAACAGCUUGCAAUAGUUCAGUUUUUAAGACCGUCCUCCUUGAGACGGGAUCAAGACACCAAAU
Long non-coding RNA from Mauremys reevesii (Reeves's turtle), 415 nucleotides. RefSeq lists it as uncharacterized. The record is from RefSeq and is a predicted model, not a curated record. The transcript is spliced from 3 exons. Lineage: Eukaryota; Metazoa; Chordata; Testudines; Geoemydidae.